GGAAAGGUGACAGAGUUGGUCGAUUGUAUCAGUUUUGAAAACUGACGUAGUGAGAGCUACCAAGGGUUCGAAUCCCUUCCUUUCCG
RNAcentral lists this transfer RNA (86 nucleotides) under Oltmannsiellopsis viridis. RNAcentral describes it as "tRNA-Ser". It matches the Rfam family "tRNA". From Rfam's summary of the family: Transfer RNA (tRNA) molecules are approximately 80 nucleotides in length. The record is from RNAcentral. Lineage: Eukaryota; Viridiplantae; Chlorophyta; Ulvophyceae; Oltmannsiellopsidales; Oltmannsiellopsidaceae.